GCUGGUGUGUACUGGCAUUACUGGGACAUGUGUUCUCUCCAGAGCUGAGUCAGGAAAUGACACCAGGCUUAUGUAGUAUAAAAGCACGACCCAAGAAUGGUGUAAGCUGCAGAGCUGGGGCUGUGGAUUGGUGUCAGUGUCACAAGUGCUUCCAGGUAAUGCUGAGUCUCAGCAACUUCGUGAGAGCUGGAUGUGAUGGGCUUGUGCCACUGCAAAAGGAUUUUCACAAAGAGCUCAGGAAGUGUUAUGCUUAAAAAAGAAAUACAAAACUCAUUGCAGAACCCGUUGAAGCUUUUAUGGCCUGUAGGCUGUCAGCAUUUCCAUCGUGGUUCCCUGCAUGCAGAAGUUGACAAUUCAGCUAUAAAUAAUCACUGCUGGUUGGAAAUUGGGAAAACUCCUUUCCUGGGAGUUACAGACGUGGUCCCUGCCAAGGCAGUAUAUCUCAGUGAUACAGAGACGGACCGAGAUUGUUUCCCAUUUCCCAUCAACAGCCAAGGGAUGUGGCAAAGGAAUAUUACAGGGCCCUGA
This 528-nucleotide long non-coding RNA is filed under the name Anser cygnoides (Swan goose). RNAcentral's name for it is "lncRNA (ENSACDG00005015701.1)". The record is from RNAcentral. Lineage: Eukaryota; Metazoa; Chordata; Aves; Anseriformes; Anatidae.